RNAcentral lists this ribosomal RNA (446 nucleotides) under uncultured bacterium. RNAcentral's name for it is "bacterial SSU rRNA". It matches the Rfam family "Bacterial small subunit ribosomal RNA", at positions 331 to 793 of the family's 1533-position model. The record is from RNAcentral.
CCAGACUCCUACGGGAGGCAGCAGUGGGGAAUAUUGCACAAUGGGCGAAAGCCUGAUGCAGCAACGCCGCGUGAAGGAAGAAGGCCUUCGGGUCGUAAACUUCUGUCCUUGGGGAAGAAGAACUGACGGUACCCAAGGAGGAAGCCCCGGCUAACUACGUGCCAGCAGCCGCGGUAAUACGUAGGAUGCGAGCGUUAUCCGGAUUUAUUGGGUUUAAAGGGUGCGCAGGCGGAAUGUCAAGUCAGCGGUAAAAUUUCGGGGCUCAACCCCGUCGUGCCGUUGAAACUGGCGUUCUUGAGUGAGCGAGAAGUAUGCGGAAUGCGUGGUGUAGCGGUGAAAUGCAUAGAUAUCACGCAGAACUCCGAUUGCGAAGGCAGCAUACCGGCGCUCAACUGACGCUCAUGCACGAAAGUGUGGGUAUCGAACAGGAUUAGAUACCCCUGUAU